UACAGAGGAGCCAAGCGUUGUCCGGAUUGACUGGGCGUAAAGCGCACGCAGGCGGAUGCGCGCGUGGGGUGUGAAAUCUGGCCGCUUAACGGCCAGGCGCCAUCCCAUACGGCGCGUCUGGAGUGAUGCAGAGGUCGGUGGAAUUGCCGGUGUAGUGGUGAAAUGCGUAGAGAUCGGCGGGAACACCCAGGGGGAAACCAGCCGACUGGGCAUCGACUGACGCUGAGGUGCGAGAGCGUGGGGAGCGAACCGG
Molecule: ribosomal RNA, 253 nt
Filed under: uncultured bacterium
Lineage: Bacteria
Description: partial 16S ribosomal RNA
Rfam family: Bacterial small subunit ribosomal RNA
Source: RNAcentral